Molecule: long non-coding RNA, 235 nt
Filed under: Lathyrus oleraceus (garden pea)
Lineage: Eukaryota; Viridiplantae; Streptophyta; Magnoliopsida; Fabales; Fabaceae
Description: Pisum sativum (pea) long non-coding RNA (PSAT_LNC019523)
Source: RNAcentral
UUUCAUUCGUUCAGAUGAUUUCUUUGGAAAGAGAAACUAAAAGCCGGUUCCAGCUCAGUUUUCCUGAUCCAGGUUUUACUCUACUACAAGACUUGGCCGCUCACAUGGAAGACCUCGAUGGUUUUAAGAAGAAGUUUGGAAAUCUCUUGCCGUUGAUGAAAGUGAAGGUGGGUAGCAUGGCUUUGAGUGUUCUUUCACAUUUCUAUGACCCAACGUACCAUUGUUUCACUUUUCC